Molecule: ribosomal RNA, 420 nt
Filed under: uncultured cyanobacterium
Lineage: Bacteria; Bacillati; Cyanobacteriota
Description: bacterial SSU rRNA
Rfam family: Bacterial small subunit ribosomal RNA
Source: RNAcentral
CGAAAGCCUGACGGAGCAAUACCGCGUGAGGGAGGAAUGCCUUUGGGUUGUAAACCUCUUUUCUCAGGGAAGAAGAUCUGACGGUACCUGAGGAAUAAGUAUCGGCUAACUCCGUGCCAGCAGCCGCGGUAAUACGGAGGAUGCAAGCGUUAUCCGGAAUCAUUGGGCGUAAAGCGUCCGCAGGUGGUUUCCAAAGUCUGCUGUUAAAGACUGGAGCUCAACUCCGGAACGGCGGUGGAAACUUGGAAACUAGAGUUCGGUAGGGGUAGCAGGAAUUCCCAGUGUAGCGGUGAAAUGCGUAGAUAUUGGGAAGAACAUCGGUGGCGAAGGCGUGCUACUGGACCGCAACUGACACUCAGGGACGAAAGCUAGGGUAGCGAAGGGGAUUAGAUACCCCUGUAGUCCUAGCCGUAAACGAUG